RNAcentral lists this ribosomal RNA (253 nucleotides) under uncultured bacterium. RNAcentral's name for it is "partial 16S ribosomal RNA". It matches the Rfam family "Bacterial small subunit ribosomal RNA", at positions 524 to 776 of the family's 1533-position model. The record is from RNAcentral.
UACGGAGGAUGCGAGCGUUAUCCGGAAUCAUUGGGCGUAAAGCGUCCGUAGGUGGUUAUGCAAGUCUGCCGUUAAAGAAUGGAGCUCAACUCCAUAGGAGCGGUGGAAACUGCAAGACUAGAGUACAGUAGGGGUAGCAGGAAUUCCCAGUGUAGCGGUGAAAUGCGUAGAUAUUGGGAAGAACAUCGGUGGCGAAAGCGUGCUACUGGGCUGAAACUGACACUGAGGGACGAAAGCUAGGGUAGCGAAAGGG